GGGGUUGUGGCUCAGUGGUAGAGUGCUUGCCUAGCAUGCAUGAGGCACUGGGUUCACUCCUCAACACCA
Molecule: transfer RNA, 69 nt
Filed under: Marmota monax (woodchuck)
Lineage: Eukaryota; Metazoa; Chordata; Mammalia; Rodentia; Sciuridae
Rfam family: tRNA
About the family: Transfer RNA (tRNA) molecules are approximately 80 nucleotides in length. Their secondary structure includes four short double-helical elements and three loops (D, anti-codon, and T loops). Further hydrogen bonds mediate the characteristic L-shaped molecular structure. tRNAs have two regions of fundamental functional importance: the anti-codon, which is responsible for specific mRNA codon recognition, and the 3' end, to which the tRNAs corresponding amino acid is attached (by aminoacyl-tRNA synthetases). tRNAs cope with the degeneracy of the genetic code in two manners: having more than one tRNA (with a specific anti-codon) for a particular amino acid; and 'wobble' base-pairing, i.e. permitting non-standard base-pairing at the 3rd anti-codon position.
Source: Rfam by way of RNAcentral